GUGUGUGUGUGUCCAGGCCAUAGACAGGGGUGUGUGUGUGUCUCUGUGUGUGUCUCUGGUGUGGAGGUGUCCUACUCUGCAGCCAUCAGAGACUCCACCAGGAGGCGCUACACCAUCACCACCACUGUGUGUCUGAUGGAGAUGUGGAAAGGGAAGGCCCGCCCUCUUCUGUCCCAACCCACUUCCUGUCCCUGUGACAGGACGUCCUGAUUGGCUGUGUCCUGACUCACCUCUUUGUGUUUCAGAGUGUGAUCCUGUCCAGCGCCGCGGAGAAGCCUCUGGAGCUCAGAGGGCCCUAUGACAUCACCAACCUGCAUCCUUCCUAUUGGUUCAGACACAAACUGUAGUCUUCAACAAAAACUACAGUACUACAGCACUCGUCUCCUCCACCUGUCGAUCUGUUGUUCUACACACAGAAACCAGGAAGACGG
Perca fluviatilis (European perch) is the source of this 431-nucleotide long non-coding RNA. RefSeq lists it as uncharacterized. The transcript is spliced from 3 exons. Lineage: Eukaryota; Metazoa; Chordata; Actinopteri; Perciformes; Percidae. The record is from RefSeq and is a predicted model, not a curated record.